RNAcentral lists this ribosomal RNA (1151 nucleotides) under human gut metagenome. Its description in RNAcentral is "bacterial LSU rRNA". It matches the Rfam family "Bacterial large subunit ribosomal RNA", at positions 1776 to 2925 of the family's 2925-position model. The record is from RNAcentral.
GCCGCAGAGAAUAGGCUCAAGCAACUGUUUAGCAAAAACACAGGUCUAUGCGAAACCGUAAGGUGAUGUAUAUGGGCUGACGCCUGCCCGGUGCUGGAAGGUUAAGAGGAGAGGUUAGCUUCGGCGAAGCUUUGAAUCCAAGCCCCAGUAAACGGCGGCCGUAACUAUAACGGUCCUAAGGUAGCGAAAUUCCUUGUCGGGUAAGUUCCGACCCGCACGAAAGGCGUAAUGAUUUGAGCGCUGUCUCGACAAUGCACCCGGUGAAAUUGAAGUACCAGUGAAGAUGCUGGUUACCCGCGCCAGGACGGAAAGACCCCAUGGAGCUUUACUCCAGUUUGGUACUGGAGCCUGGUAUUGCAUGUACAGGAUAGGUGGGAGCUUAUGAACCUGGGACGCCAGUCUCAGGGGAGGCGCUGUUGGGAUACCACCCUUGCAAUAUCGGGUUUCUAACCAGCCGCCGUGAUCCGGCGGUGGGACAAUGCCAGGCGGGGAGUUUGACUGGGGCGGUCGCCUCCGAAAGGGUAUCGGAGGCGCUCAAAGUUUCCCUCAUAAUGGUCGGAAACCAUUAGAAGAGUGCAAAGGCAGAAGGGAGGCUGACUGCGACACCGACGGGUGGAGCAGGUACGAAAGUAGGACUUAGUGAUCCGGUGGCAUAAAGUGGGAUUGCCAUCGCUCAACGGAUAAAAGCUACCCUGGGGAUAACAGGCUUAUCACUCCCAAGAGUUCACAUCGACGGAGUGGUUUGGCACCUCGAUGUCGGCUCAUCGCAUCCUGGGGCUGUAGCAGGUCCCAAGGGUUGGGCUGUUCGCCCAUUAAAGCGGUACGCGAGCUGGGUUCAGAACGUCGUGAGACAGUUCGGUCCCUAUCCGGCGCGGGCGUAGGAUAUCUGAGGGGAGCUGGCCUUAGUACGAGAGGACCGGGCUGGACGGACCACUGGUGUACCGGCUGUCAUGCCAAUGGCAUCGCCGGGUAGCCAAGUCCGGAAGGAAUAAACGCUGAAGGCAUCUAAGCGUGAAGUCCCCCCCAAGAUGAGAUAUCCCAUCCUUUUAAAGGAGUAAAAACCCUUGAAGAGUACGAGGUAGAUAGGGCAGAGGUGGAAGUGUGGUAACACAUGGAGCUGACUGUUACUAAUCGUUUGAGGGCUUGACCAA